Molecule: small nucleolar RNA, 127 nt
Organism: Ailuropoda melanoleuca (giant panda)
Lineage: Eukaryota; Metazoa; Chordata; Mammalia; Carnivora; Ursidae
Source: Ensembl
GCAGACUCACUCUGCAUCCGGCUGCAGCCCCAGGCGGGUGCUUUUUCUGUCUGCCACAGAAACAUCCCGGGGUGCUGUGACCACCUCGACCUGUCAAAGGGCGAUACAGCCAUCUGGGGACACAGGG